AGUGAACGCUGGCGGUAGGCCUAACACAUGCAAGUCGAACGGCAGCACAGUAAGAGCUUGCUCUUACGGGUGGCGAGUGGCGGACGGGUGAGGAAUACAUCGGAAUCUACUUUUUCGUGGGGGAUAACGUAGGGAAACUUACGCUAAUACCGCAUACGACCUCCGUGUGAAAGCAGGGGAUCUUCGGACCUUGCGCGAUUGAAUGAGCCGAUGUCGGAUUAGCUAGUUGGCGGGGUAAAGGCCCACCAAGGCGACGAUCCGUAGCUGGUCUGAGAGGAUGAUCAGCAACACUGGAACUGAGACACGGUCCAGACUCCUACGGGAGGCAGCAGUGGGGAAUAUUGGACAAUGGGAGCAAGCCUGAUCCAGCCAUACCGCGUGGGUGAAGAAGGCCUUCGGGUUGUAAAGCCCUUUUGUUGGGAAAGAAAAGCAGCAGGUUAAUACCCCGCUGUUCUGACGGUAACCAAAGAAUAAGCACCGGCUAACUUCGUG
This 492-nucleotide ribosomal RNA is filed under the name uncultured bacterium. Its description in RNAcentral is "partial 16S ribosomal RNA". It matches the Rfam family "Bacterial small subunit ribosomal RNA", at positions 29 to 507 of the family's 1533-position model. The record is from RNAcentral.